CGAACGGCAGCAGGAGUAAGCUUGCUUACUUGCUGGCGAGUGGCGGACGGGUGAGUAACGCGUAGGAAUUUGCCUUAAGGCGGGGGAUAACCCGGGGAAACUCGGGCUAAUACCGCAUAAACUCCACGGAGAAAAGGAUGGGACCGUAAGGCCAUUCACCUUAAGAGAAGCCUGCGUAAGAUUAGCUAGUUGGUGGGGUAAAGGCCUACCAAGGCGACGAUCUUUAGCUGGUCUGAGAGGACGAACAGCCACACUGGGACUGAGACACGGCCCAGACUCCUACGGGAGGCAGCAGUGGGGAAUAUUGGACAAUGGGGGCAACCCUGAUCCAGCAAUACCGCGUGUGUGAAGAAGGCCUUCGGGUUGUAAAGCACUUUUAGUUGGGAAGAAGUGAUGUUUUCGAAUAGAGGACAUUAUUGACGUUACCGACAGAAAAAGCGCCGGCUAACUCUGUGCCAGCAGCCGCGGUAAUACAGAGGGUGCAAGCGUUAAUCGGAAUUACCGGGCGUAAAGGGCGCGUAGGUUGCUAAGUAAGUUAGAUGUGAAAUGUUCGGGCUUAACCUGGAAUGGCCAUUUAAAACUGCUUAGCUAGAGUACAGUAGAGGGAAAGGGAAUUUCCGGUGUAGCGGUGAAAUGCGUAGAUAUCGGAAGGAACAUCAGUGGCGAAGGCGCCUUCCAGGACUGAUACUGACACUGAGGC
Molecule: ribosomal RNA, 700 nt
Filed under: uncultured bacterium
Lineage: Bacteria
Description: bacterial SSU rRNA
Rfam family: Bacterial small subunit ribosomal RNA
Source: RNAcentral